GACGAACGCUGGCGGCGUGCUUAACACAUGCAAGUCGAACGGAAAGGCCCUGCUUUUGUGGGGUGCUCGAGUGGCGAGCGGGUGAGUAACACGUGAGUAACCUGCCCUUGACUUUGGGAUAACUUCAGGAAACUGGGGCUAAUACCGGAUAGGAGCUCCUGCUGCAUGGUGGGGGUUGGAAAGUUUCGGCGGUUGGGGAUGGACUCGCGGCUUAUCAGCUUGUUGGUGGGGUAGUGGCUUACCAAGGCUUUGACGGGUAGCCGGCCUGAGAGGGUGACCGGCCACAUUGGGACUGAGGUACGGCCCAGACUCGUACGGGAGGCAGCAGUGGGGAAUAUUGCGCAAUGGGCGGAAGCCUGAUGCAGCAACGCCGCGUGCGGGAUGACGGCCUUCGGGUUGUAAACCGCUUUCGCCUGUGACGAAGCGUGAGUGACGGUAAUGGGUAAAGAAGCACCGGCUAACUACGUG
RNAcentral lists this ribosomal RNA (468 nucleotides) under uncultured bacterium. Its description in RNAcentral is "partial 16S ribosomal RNA". It matches the Rfam family "Bacterial small subunit ribosomal RNA", at positions 28 to 507 of the family's 1533-position model. The record is from RNAcentral.